AAAAUACGUAAUAUAUUGGGCAAAAGAUCUUAAAUGAACAAGCUUUCAUACUUAUUAUUGAAGAGAGGUUAGAUUUCUAUUCGUGCUUUCCUUGAAUAUUAUUUGUGGUACUUCUUGAAUUAACUUAAGAAAGAUUCCAUCUACACUUGAGUUGAAAACUAUCCUUGGAAUCACAUUAGAUGUGCUCUCAUCAUAAUUUGCUCUGAAAUUAUCCAAAAUGGCUCUGAUCUAUGCUCAUUUAUCUUUUUCUAACAUUA
RNAcentral lists this long non-coding RNA (257 nucleotides) under Phoenix dactylifera (date palm). RNAcentral describes it as "long non-coding RNA (PDAC_LNC010916)". The record is from RNAcentral. Lineage: Eukaryota; Viridiplantae; Streptophyta; Magnoliopsida; Arecales; Arecaceae.